GCUUUUGUGCAGUGACAGUAUCGUAGCCCAUGAGGUUUACCUAAGGCGUGAUAAUUCCUAAUUCAAAACUUUCCCCAAUACCUUGCCAUGACAUCUUGAAAAUAGAUUCCAUUUUUAUAGUUUUUUUAAGUUUAGGGCAAA
Ochotona princeps (American pika) is the source of this 141-nucleotide small nuclear RNA. Its record names the gene U4. It matches the Rfam family "U4 spliceosomal RNA". From Rfam's summary of the family: U4 small nuclear RNA (U4 snRNA) is a component of the major U2-dependent spliceosome. The structure of U4 snRNA from yeast and human has been reported. U4 snRNA presents a k-turn RNA motif in the 5p-SL related to recognition of Snu13 protein. The record is from Ensembl. NCBI's taxonomy places the organism in Eukaryota, Metazoa, Chordata, Mammalia, Lagomorpha, Ochotonidae.